This is a long non-coding RNA of Liolophura sinensis, 301 nucleotides long. RefSeq lists it as uncharacterized. Lineage: Eukaryota; Metazoa; Mollusca; Polyplacophora; Chitonida; Chitonidae. The record is from RefSeq and is a predicted model, not a curated record. The transcript has 4 exons.
CAUGACUUUUGCUUUGUGUUAUUACUUAAUUUAAAGGAUUGAUGAAGAGUGAUGUCCUCAUUAUUAAGUUUAUAACAUAUGUUCAAGAUAGAGCACAAAGCUUUCAGCCUGUCCUAGUGAGUAAAAAUGGCUUUAAAGAUACCAUGUGAAUAGAUAAUACAGGUGUCUGUAUGGCAGAGUUGUUUCCCCUACACAAGAGCAUGGAAUUUAUUUGGGCUAUUCGAAUGUAACCAAGAUCAUUACAUCAGAAGGAGGACAGGUGAACAUACAGAUAUAUAUGUUGCAUGGGAGUGGAUAAGCA